Molecule: long non-coding RNA, 3360 nt
Organism: Alexandromys fortis (reed vole)
Lineage: Eukaryota; Metazoa; Chordata; Mammalia; Rodentia; Cricetidae
Exons: 4
Source: RefSeq, a predicted model, not a curated record
CACGCAUGCGCACUGCCAAAGUCUGGACAGUUCUGCCCAGUGUCUCCUGCUGAACCACAGCCAUGCCUUCGCAUCCAGAGCACAGCGAUAAAAGCAAGAGAGCAGCUUUGUUCUGAGUGAAGUCGAAAGAGAGAUGAGGAUGUACGUCUCUGCUUCCAUUCUUACCAUGCUCCCUGAGACCAGUCCACAGCACUGAACUAGGCAUCUGGGUGGAAAGCCAAAGAGGAAGGAAGUCAUGAACCUGAGAGGAAGGAAGUCAUGAACCUGAGAGGAAGGAAGUCAUGAGCCGGAGAGGAAGGAAAUAGGAAGUCGUGGACUCUGGAUGGCGGAUGAUGAGAAGCUCAUUGCGAGGUUUGAUCUCCAGCCCUGGAACAUCUUUGGAACAGUGAGUGUGGACUUUCCAGCGUAAUCCAUAGGUGCCAGCUUCGCGGCGGCCGUGUAGGAUAUUCACAGGAAGACAGUGUGCCUCCCGAGGGGCUGCAUUAAACUGAACUGACUGUCAGACAUCAAAGAGCGACAACAAGAAAGAAGGCGGACGGUGUUCAUCUCCCCGGUUCUUUGUGCGCAGGUGCAGCUUUGUUCUCAGGCUGCAAAUUAAGUCUCUGCUGGUUUGGUACGGUCAACCCAGUUUCCUGUCCUAAAACGCUAAGCAGCUGGAGCUGAUUCAGGAGCGUUGAGGCUUCAGCAGCCCCGAGGCUGGCCCGGAAGGAGUCUCCCAUUCAUCCGCAUCCACAUUUCUUCUCGAGGCAAGCCAAGCUUAUUGAAAUACAUAACGGCAGCCGCCUUUGCUGUUCGUGGGCGAUUCGGUGGAUGGGAAAAUGACAGUGGACCACAGUGAAGCUGAAUGCAUGAGUUUCAAAUUGCGAGUUCUUACGCAGGCAGAUUGUUGUGGUUAAGCACCCAUUUGAGGAAACCCCAAAUCCUAAAAAGUUGAAGAGAGAGAAAAUGUUCUUCUUUGAAGAUGGACAUUAUUUGCUGUUCCAAGAUCCAAGGUCUCUUAUGAAUGAAAUGCGGAAAACCCAUGAGUUAGACCAAAUGACUUUUAGAAACGUAUUUACUUUAUUUUCAACUAAGUGGACAUGUGCAGGUAUGUGUGCUGGUGUGUACAGGCACUCGUGGAGGCGAGCUGUGUUGGACCUCUUGGACUUAGAGGUUCAAGUAAUUGUGAACUACCUGACCUGGAUGUUGGGAUCACAACUCAGGCUUCUACAACAGCAGUGCGUGCUUUUAAAAACUGAGCCAUCUAGCCUUGUGGAGCAAAUGCUUUAAAGUAAACUCUAGAAUAUAAUUAUGACUGUAUAUGUUUGCUCAGGCAUACCAGUCAGAUAAAUCUGAGUCUCUGGGUAGCUUAGCUGUCUCCACCUGUGCUUCUGGUAACUAUAGGCCCUGCCUAAUCAUCAUGAUCCCCUGUGCCCAGCUCGGUCUCUUUUUUCUUUUCUGUUACAAUUUGCCAGAAUGCUUUCAAUAUCGCUGUGCCUGAAAGAUGAUCAGAACUCUGUGGCCUGGGCUAUGUGUCAUACAUGUUCACAUAUGUGGAAACCUGAGGUCAACUUCAGGUGUCUCUCUUCACACACCAUCAGCCUGGAGACAGCAUCUCUCACGGGUCCUGGAAGUCAUUGGUAUUGCUGGCCAGCUAGCCUUAAGGAUCCAUCUCUUUUUGCCUUUCAAGUGCUGAGAUGGAAUAUAAUUUUAUGUUUGGUUUUGGCCAUACGGUUUAUUAAUAUAGUUAAGCUCAACUUUAGAUUUUUUUUAAUAUUACAGUUAGACUUCAAGGUUUCUUUGGGCUGUUUGUUUGUUUGUUUUUGUAUUUUUGUUUUUUUGAGUCAGGGUUUCUCUGUCACUUUGGAGCCUGUCCUGGAACUAGCUCUUGUAGACCAGGCUGGCCUCAAACUCAGAGAUCCACCUGCCUCUGCCACCCGAGUGCUGGGAUAAAAGGCGUGUGCCACCACCACCCGGCCGACUUCAAGGUUUCUAUUUUGUCUGAUUUACCUGGCUUUGAUACCAUUAACCAUAAACUUUUUUUUUUUGAUUGAACUCAGGGCCUUGUACCUGCUAGGCAAGCACUCUGCCACUCAGCUACAUACCCAGGCCCCGCUGACUGCAUAGGGCACAGUCACAGGCCUGGUGAGUCAGGCAGAAGGGUGAGAAGAGCAAGCUCCCAUCUCUCGUCAAGAGAAGACUGAUACACAAAUAGAAAAUGGAAAACGGGAAGCCGUGUCUGUGGUUAUUUCCUUGGCAUCUGUAAUAUCUACCAGAACAUUUGAUAACACGAAAGGGUUAUUUCUCAGUGGGGAAAAAAUGGCCAUCAGGAGCACAUAGAAAGGCAGCCUUGUUAUAUAUGGCUGGUGUUGAGGCAAUGUCGGAAUGCAAGUGGAAUUUAGAAGGCAGCCAGGGCCUGCUUCUGUGAUUCUGACCUCGCAGAAGUGAUGGGGAUGUAGCUCUCACUGACUCAGAAACUUCCGGGUAAAAUAAGAAGGGGGUUCCUACUUCCCUUCAGACUGGCUACGUGUUGUGGAUUGAGUGUGAAAUGGCUCCCACAGGCUCAUGCGUUUGAACGUUUGAUCUCUAGCUGGUGGCACGGUUUGGGAAAGUUAAGGGACCUUCAGAAGGUGGAGCCUGGUGGAAGGAAGGACAUCACCGGGAGGAGGAGAGUAAGACGUGGAAUUGCAUAGCCUGGCCCCACUUUCUAUUUCCAGUCUUCUUCAGGGUGGCUGAUGGAAUAUGUUGGGCCAGCCUCACACUCCAUGCUCUUCCCAUCCUGAUUGGCUGUAUUCCUCUGGAACUGUAAGUGAAAACAAACCCUUUCUCCUUACCUUGCUUUGGUCAUGGUAUUGCAUCGAGGCAACAGAAAUGAAAUAGAAGAUACGACAUCACAAGACGUGAUUAACCCAGUCAGAUUACGGGGAAGAGAGAUGUGUGGACAAACGGCUUCUGAGAAGCCUCUGGAGCUGACCUUGCAGGAUGAAGAGAUUCCCAUAACGUCGAGGAGUGGCACAGGGUGGUAAAAGUACAAAAUCGGUGCUUACUUCACAGAAAAAGAUGUUGAGUUCUCCCUAAACUGCACGCCACCAACAUGUAUGGUGCUAAGUCGAGUCCUGAAACGUGGCCAUCUUCAGUAAGACUUCCUUUUAUCUGUCCAAGUUCUGGCCAUUUUAAAGAUGCUCGCCAGUUUUCUGCAUGUUUGUAUUAACUAUUUUCUGUCCUGUUGUGCAGUCUUACCUGUCCAUGGAAACAGUACAAAGACUGUUCCCGACCAUUCCCAGGUUCCAGUUCCCAGAGUUACAGCCUCUCCGCCAGCUAAAUAAGGGUCUCAGUAGAGAGGAUUGGUUUAAUUUAAGUCACAGAGUGUUAGAAGGUCUC